CCUACGGGGGGCAGCAGUGAGGAAUAUUGGUCAAUGGACGAGAGUCUGAACCAGCCAAGUCGCGUGAAGGAUGACUGCUCUAUGGGUUGUAAACUUCUUUUAUAUGGGAAUAAAAUGAUCCACGUGUGGGAUUUUGUAUGUAUCAUAUGAAUAAGGAUCGGCUAACUCCGUGCCAGCAGCCGCGGUAAUACGGAGGAUCCGAGCGUUAUCCGGAUUUAUUGGGUUUAAAGGGAGCGUAGGUGGAUUGUUAAGUCAGAUGUGAAAGUUUGCGGCUCAACUGUAAAAUUGCAGUUGAUACUGGCAGUCUAGAGUACAGUAGAGGUAGGCGGAAUUCGUGGUGUAGCGGUGAAAUGCUUAGAUAUCACGAAGAACUCCGAUUGCGAAGGCAGCUCACUGGAC
Molecule: ribosomal RNA, 399 nt
Filed under: uncultured bacterium
Lineage: Bacteria
Description: partial 16S ribosomal RNA
Rfam family: Bacterial small subunit ribosomal RNA
Source: RNAcentral